AUAGAGAGUGUGAACGCGCCCAAUCUCAUCUGAUCUCUGAAGCUAAGCAGGGUCGGGCCUGGUUAGAACUUGGAUGGGAGACCGCUUGCGAACACCAGGUGCUGUA
This 106-nucleotide ribosomal RNA is filed under the name Saimiri boliviensis boliviensis (Bolivian squirrel monkey). The record is from RNAcentral. Lineage: Eukaryota; Metazoa; Chordata; Mammalia; Primates; Cebidae.